RNAcentral lists this ribosomal RNA (508 nucleotides) under uncultured bacterium. RNAcentral's name for it is "partial 16S ribosomal RNA". It matches the Rfam family "Bacterial small subunit ribosomal RNA", at positions 28 to 523 of the family's 1533-position model. The record is from RNAcentral.
GAUGAACGCUAGCUACAGGCUUAACACAUGCAAGUCGAGGGGAAACGAUAGAGAAAGCUUGCUUUUUCUAGGCGUCGACCGGCGCACGGGUGAGUAACGCGUAUCCAACCUGCCCAUCACUUGGGGAUAACCUUGCGAAAGUAAGACUAAUACCCAAUGAUAUCUCUAGAAGACAUCUGAAAGGGAUUAAAGAUUUAUCGGUGAUGGAUGGGGAUGCGUCUGAUUAGCUUGUUGGCGGGGUAACGGCCCACCAAGGCGACGAUCAGUAGGGGUUCUGAGAGGAAGGUCCCCCACAUUGGAACUGAGACACGGUCCAAACUCCUACGGGAGGCAGCAGUGAGGAAUAUUGGUCAAUGGGCGAGAGCCUGAACCAGCCAAGUAGCGUGCAGGAUGACGGCCCUAUGGGUUGUAAACUGCUUUUAUAAGGGAAUAAAGUGAGUCUCGUGAGACUUUUCGCAUGUACCUUAUGAAUAAGGACCGGCUAAUUCCGUGCCAGCCGCCGCGGUAA